UACGUAGGGUGCGAGCGUUGUCCGGAAUUACUGGGCGUAAAGAGCUCGUAGGUGGUUUGUCGCGUUGUCCGUGAAAACUCACAACUCAAUUGUGGGCGUGCGGGCGAUACGGGCAGACUGGAGUACUGCAGGGGAGACUGGAAUUCCUGGUGUAGCGGUGGAAUGCGCAGAUAUCAGGAGGAACACCGAUGGCGAAGGCAGGUCUCUGGGCCACUACUGACGCUGAGAAGCGAAAGCGUGGGGAGCAAACAGG
RNAcentral lists this ribosomal RNA (253 nucleotides) under uncultured bacterium. RNAcentral's name for it is "partial 16S ribosomal RNA". It matches the Rfam family "Bacterial small subunit ribosomal RNA", at positions 524 to 776 of the family's 1533-position model. The record is from RNAcentral.